RNAcentral lists this non-coding RNA (31 nucleotides) under Rattus norvegicus (Norway rat). Lineage: Eukaryota; Metazoa; Chordata; Mammalia; Rodentia; Muridae. The record is from RNAcentral.
UCCAACAGCAAGACAGAAAGCAGCAGUGCAA